This 253-nucleotide ribosomal RNA is filed under the name uncultured bacterium. RNAcentral's name for it is "partial 16S ribosomal RNA". It matches the Rfam family "Bacterial small subunit ribosomal RNA", at positions 524 to 776 of the family's 1533-position model. The record is from RNAcentral.
UACGUAGGGUGCAAGCGUUAAUCGGAAUUACUGGGCGUAAAGCGUGCGCAGGCGGUUGUGCAAGACCGAUGUGAAAUCCCCGGGCUUAACCUGGGAAUGGCAUUGGUGAUUGUACGGCUAGAGUGUGUCAGAGGGGGGUAGAAUUCCACGUGUAGCAGUGAAAUGCGUAGAGAUGUGGAGGAAUACCGAUGGCGAAGGCAGCCCCCUGGGAUAACACUGACGCUCAUGCACGAAAGCGUGGGGAGCAAACAGG